This 1073-nucleotide long non-coding RNA is filed under the name Lathyrus oleraceus (garden pea). RNAcentral describes it as "Pisum sativum (pea) long non-coding RNA (PSAT_LNC000122)". Lineage: Eukaryota; Viridiplantae; Streptophyta; Magnoliopsida; Fabales; Fabaceae. The record is from RNAcentral.
AAAUGAAGUUAUUUGAAUAAAAGAUUCCUCCUUAAACUAAUUAGAUGAUAGAUAUGAAAAAUGUGAAUGUACACAAAUAUGAGUAAAUAUCAUUUAUUUAUUGAGUCCUAUCAUUUAUAUAUAAAAUUAGAUCCAUUGAAAAAUUAUGAACAUGAAUAUCAAUUAGUCAAAAAAACAAUGGAUAUUCAACUUAAUUGGCCGUGCUUUGGUUUGGAAGCGCUUAGGGUAUAUUUUAGUGUUUAAAUGUGACCCAAUUUAGAGGUUUAGAUCAAUUAUAUGAAUAUUUAAAAAAAAUAUAGAUGUGCAAAUUGUAUGAAUAAUAUAAAAAAUUUAAUGGAUCCAUUUAAAGAACCCAAAUAAAUUCAUGGAGAUGCUCUAAUAACUAAUGCUGACGAGACCCGUUAAUCCUUCAUACCAUUGGCUCUCCGAACAAUAGAAAACGAUUCUGAAAGAUACUUAAAGAGAGAUACAAGUGUUUGAAACCCAUUUCAUUGCUGCUGCAAAAUACAACAUAUAAAGAAUAGAAGUUUUACAACCAAAUUUGAAAGCAGUUUCGGAAUCAGCACAAAUCAGUUCAUAAUAAUACACUCUAAGUAAAAUGCUACUGUGAUGAAUAUCAAAUCGAUCUCCCAGCUUAGUUAUCAAUUAACUCAAACCUAUCAGGACAAAAUAAAACCCAUAAGCAAAUAAAAUUAAACAUCUUUUAAAAACUAAAUAAAAUAUAGGGCAGUUUAUAAAUGACCUAAAUUUAAGAAAGAAGAGAAAAACAAGCAAAAUAAUGAAACUGCCCCAAAAAAAGAAUAGCUAUUGGCCGGGUGAAAUAGAGAUCUCAGAACAAAAUUAACUGAAAACUCAUUGGAUCGGUCGAAAAUUAAUUAUCAAAAAACCAAAUGAAUUGAAAAUGUGCAAAUCCUUUCAAAGCUUCUGCAGAGUGAAAUUGUUGCAGAAGAAUAGAGAAAAGGAAUUGAGAUUUGUUAUAUGCCCGCAACGGAACUCAGACGCAAAUAUUUUGCUGCUACGCCUGGUUCUUUCAAGGCACAUAUAACCCUAAUUGAAGACUCCUUUGUUCUUUU